RNAcentral lists this ribosomal RNA (469 nucleotides) under uncultured bacterium. Its description in RNAcentral is "bacterial SSU rRNA". It matches the Rfam family "Bacterial small subunit ribosomal RNA", at positions 28 to 507 of the family's 1533-position model. The record is from RNAcentral.
GAUGAACGCUAGCGGCAGGCUUAACACAUGCAAGUCGAGGGGCAGCGCGGAGUAGCAAUACUCGUGGCGGCGACCGGCGGAAGGGUGCGUAACACGUGAGCGACUUGCCCGUCACAGGGAGAUAACCGCUGGAAACGGCGACUAAUAUCCCAUAUGAUGGCGAUCUGCAUGGAUUGUCAUUGAAAGAUUCAUCGGUGGCGGAUAGGCUCGCGGGGCAUUAGCUAGACGGCGGGGCAACGGCCCACCGUGGCGACGAUGCCUAGGGGUUCUGAGAGGAAGACCCCCCACACUGGGACUGAGACACGGCCCAGACUCCUACGGGAGGCAGCAGUGGGGAAUAUUGGGCAAUGGGGGAAACCCUGACCCAGCAACGCCGCGUGAAGGAAGAAGGCCCUCGGGUUGUAAACUUCUUUUACCAGGGACGAAGGACGUGACGGUACCUGGAGAAAAAGCAACGGCUAACUACGUG